UUUUUAACUCAAGUGGCGGACGGGUGAGUAACACGUAAGAAUUUGCCUUUAGGAGGGGGAUAACAACUGGAAACGGUUGCUAAUACCCCAUAUGCUUUCGAGUGAAAUGGAUUUUUCCGCCUAAAGAGAAGCUUGCGGCUGAUUAGCUUGUUGGUAAGGUAAUGGCUUACCAAGGCGACGAUCAGUAUCUGGUUUGAGAGGACGAUCAGACACACUGGAACUGAGACACGGUCCAGACUCCUACGGGAGGCAGCAGUGGGGAAUUUUCCGCAAUGGGCGAAAGCCUGACGGAGCAAUACCGCGUGAGGGAUGACGGCCUAUGGGUUGUAAACCUCUUUUUUCAGGGAGGAAUAAAAUGACGUGUACCUGAAGAAUAAGCAUCGGCUAACUCCGUGCCAGCAGCCGCGGUAAGACGGAGGAUGCAAGUGUUAUCCGGAAUCACUGGGCGUAAAGCGUCUGUAGGUGGUCAAAUAAGUCAACUGUUAAAUCUUGAGGCUCAACCUCAAAAUCGCAGUCGAAACUAUUAGACUAGAGUAUAGUAGGGGUAAAGGGAAUUUCCAGUGGAGCGGUGAAAUGCGUAGAUAUUGGAAAGAACACCGAUGGCGAAGGCACUUUACUGGGCUAUUACUAACACUCAGAGACGAAAGCUAGGGUAGCAAAUGGGAUUAGAUACCCCAGUAGUCCUAGCUGUAAACAAUGGAUACUAGAUGUUGGACAGAUCGACCUGUGCAGUAUCAAAGCUAACGCGUUAAGUAUCCCGCCUGGGAAGUAUGCUCGCAAGAGUGAAACUCAAAGGAAUUGAC
This 803-nucleotide ribosomal RNA is filed under the name uncultured cyanobacterium. Its description in RNAcentral is "bacterial SSU rRNA". It matches the Rfam family "Bacterial small subunit ribosomal RNA", at positions 83 to 914 of the family's 1533-position model. The record is from RNAcentral. Lineage: Bacteria; Bacillati; Cyanobacteriota.